RNAcentral lists this ribosomal RNA (440 nucleotides) under uncultured bacterium. RNAcentral describes it as "partial 16S ribosomal RNA". It matches the Rfam family "Bacterial small subunit ribosomal RNA", at positions 338 to 795 of the family's 1533-position model. The record is from RNAcentral.
CCUACGGGAGGCAGCAGUGGGGGAUAUUGCACAAUGGGGGGAACCCUGAUGCAGCGACGCCGCGUGGGUGAAGAAGCGCCUCGGCGCGUACAGCCCUGUCAGCAGGGAAGAAAAUGACGGUACCUGAAGAAGAAGCCCCGGCUGACUACGUGCCAGCAGCCGCGGGAAUACGUAGGGGGCAAGCGUUAUCCGGAUUUACUGGGUGUAAAGGGGGCGCAGACGGCGAUGCAAGCCAGGAGUGAAAGCCCGGGGCCCAACCCCGGGACUGCUCUUGGAACUGCGUGGCUGGAGUGCAGGAGGGGAAGGCGGAAUUCCUGGGGUAGCGGUGAAAGGCGUAGAUAUCAGGAGGAACAGCGGUGGCGAAGGCGGCCUGCUGGACUGCAACUGACGUUGAGGCCCGAAAGCGUGGGGAGCAAACAGGAUUAGAUACCCGAGUAGUC